GUGUCUGGAAGAGUUGUGGGAUCUAUUGGUGGAGAGAGCUGUUCAAAUAAAAAUGGGGGUCCAUCAAAUGUAAAUGUUGAGCUUUUAUCUCCCACGGGUGAUCUUGUCACAUCUGUUUUAACAUCACCAACAAGAAGUUACUCGUUCACUAACAUUAUCCCAGGAAAAUACAAACUACGUGCUUCACGUCCUGAUUUUAAUGUUGAAGUUAGAGGUUCUGCAGAGGUUGAAUUGGGGUUUGAGAAUGGUUUGGUUGAUGACAUUUCCUUUGUCCCUGGCUAUGAUAUUCAU
This is a non-coding RNA of Camellia sinensis, 291 nucleotides long. The record is from RefSeq and is a predicted model, not a curated record. NCBI's taxonomy places the organism in Eukaryota, Viridiplantae, Streptophyta, Magnoliopsida, Ericales, Theaceae.